AUUGAACGCUGGCGGCAGGCCUAACACAUGCAAGUCGAGCGGAUGAAGGGAGCUUGCUCCUGGAUUCAGCGGCUGACGGGUGAGUAAUUCCUAUGAAUCUGCCUGGUAGUGGGGUAUAACGUCCGGAAACGGGCGCUAAUACCGCAUACGUCCUGAGGGAGAUAGUGGGGGAUCUUCGGACCUCACGCUAUCCGAUUAUUCUAGGUCGGAUUAGCUAGUUGGUGGGGUAAAGGCCUACCAAGGCUACGAUCCGUAACUUGUCUGAGAGGAUGAUCAGUCACACUGGAAAUGAGACACGGUCAAGACUACUACGGGAGGCAGAAGUGGGGAAUAUUGGACAAUGGGCGAAAGCCUGAUACAGAAAUGACGCGUGUGUGAAGAAGGUCUUAGGAUUGUAAAGCACUUUAAGUUGGGAGGAAGGGAAGUAAGAUAAUACAUUGCUGUUGUGGCGUUAACAACAGAAUAAGCACCGGCUAACUUCGUG
RNAcentral lists this ribosomal RNA (484 nucleotides) under uncultured bacterium. RNAcentral describes it as "partial 16S ribosomal RNA". It matches the Rfam family "Bacterial small subunit ribosomal RNA", at positions 30 to 507 of the family's 1533-position model. The record is from RNAcentral.